GACGAACCGUGCAAACGUUGUUCGGAAUCACUGGGCUUAAAGGGCGCGUAGGCGGGUUCUCAAGUCAGUGGUGAAAUCUUGCGGCUCAACCGUAGAAUAGCUGCUGAUACUGAGAGUCUCGAGGGAGGCAGGGGUCGAUGGAACUUCCGGUGGAGCGGUGAAAUGCGUAGAUAUCGGAAGGAACGCCGGUGGCGAAAGCGAUCGACUGGACCUUUUCUGACGCUGAGGCGCGGAAGCCAGGGGAGCAAACGGG
RNAcentral lists this ribosomal RNA (253 nucleotides) under uncultured bacterium. RNAcentral's name for it is "partial 16S ribosomal RNA". It matches the Rfam family "Bacterial small subunit ribosomal RNA", at positions 524 to 776 of the family's 1533-position model. The record is from RNAcentral.